RNAcentral lists this ribosomal RNA (1512 nucleotides) under uncultured Lactobacillus sp. RNAcentral describes it as "bacterial SSU rRNA". It matches the Rfam family "Bacterial small subunit ribosomal RNA". The record is from RNAcentral. Lineage: Bacteria; Bacillati; Bacillota; Bacilli; Lactobacillales; Lactobacillaceae.
AGGAACUGGGGGGGUGCUAUACAUGCAGUCGAACGAGUUCUCGUUGAUGAUCGGUGCUUGCACCGAGAUUCAACAUGGAACGAGUGGCGGACGGGUGAGUAACACGUGGGUAACCUGCCCUUAAGUGGGGGAUAACAUUUGGAAACAGAUGCUAAUACCGCAUAGAUCCAAGAACCGCAUGGUUCUUGGCUGAAAGAUGGCGUAAGCUAUCGCUUUUGGAUGGACCCGCGGCGUAUUAGCUAGUUGGUGAGGUAAUGGCUCACCAAGGCGAUGAUACGUAGCCGAACUGAGAGGUUGAUCGGCCACAUUGGGACUGAGACACGGCCCAAACUCCUACGGGAGGCAGCAGUAGGGAAUCUUCCACAAUGGACGCAAGUCUGAUGGAGCAACGCCGCGUGAGUGAAGAAGGCUUUCGGGUCGUAAAACUCUGUUGUUGGAGAAGAAUGGUCGGCAGAGUAACUGUUGUCGGCGUGACGGUAUCCAACCAGAAAGCCACGGCUAACUACGUGCCAGCAGCCGCGGUAAUACGUAGGUGGCAAGCGUUAUCCGGAUUUAUUGGGCGUAAAGCGAGCGCAGGCGGUUUUUUAAGUCUGAUGUGAAAGCCCUCGGCUUAACCGAGGAAGCGCAUCGGAAACUGGGAAACUUGAGUGCAGAAGAGGACAGUGGAACUCCAUGUGUAGCGGUGAAAUGCGUAGAUAUAUGGAAGAACACCAGUGGCGAAGGCGGCUGUCUGGUCUGUAACUGACGCUGAGGCUCGAAAGCAUGGGUAGCGAACAGGAUUAGAUACCCUGGUAGUCCAUGCCGUAAACGAUGAAUGCUAGGUGUUGGAGGGUUUCCGCCCUUCAGUGCCGCAGCUAACGCAUUAAGCAUUCCGCCUGGGGAGUACGACCGCAAGGUUGAAACUCAAAGGAAUUGACGGGGGCCCGCACAAGCGGUGGAGCAUGUGGUUUAAUUCGAAGCAACGCGAAGAACCUUACCAGGUCUUGACAUCUUUUGAUCACCUGAGAGAUCAGGUUUCCCCUUCGGGGGCAAAAUGACAGGUGGUGCAUGGUUGUCGUCAGCUCGUGUCGUGAGAUGUUGGGUUAAGUCCCGCAACGAGCGCAACCCUUAUGACUAGUUGCCAGCAUUUAGUUGGGCACUCUAGUAAGACUGCCGGUGACAAACCGGAGGAAGGUGGGGAUGACGUCAAAUCAUCAUGCCCCUUAUGACCUGGGCUACACACGUGCUACAAUGGAUGGUACAACGAGUUGCGAGACCGCGAGGUCAAGCUAAUCUCUUAAAGCCAUUCUCAGUUCGGACUGUAGGCUGCAACUCGCCUACACGAAGUCGGAAUCGCUAGUAAUCGCGGAUCAGCACGCCGCGGUGAAUACGUUCCCGGGCCUUGUACACACCGCCCGUCACACCAUGAGAGUUUGUAACACCCGAAGCCGGUGGCGUAACCCUUUUAGGGAGCGAGCCGUCUAAGGUGGGACAAAUGAUUAGGGUGAAGUCGUAACAAGGAAGCCUAGCCCC